UGAGACAAAUGCUUUCGUUCUCUAGGUUC
RNAcentral lists this non-coding RNA (29 nucleotides) under Mus musculus (house mouse). Lineage: Eukaryota; Metazoa; Chordata; Mammalia; Rodentia; Muridae. The record is from RNAcentral.